GCUCAGGACGAACGCUGGCGGCGUGCUUAACACAUGCAAGUCGAACGAUGAUGCCCAGCUUGCUGGGCGGAUUAGUGGCGAACGGGUGAGUAAUACGUGAGUAACCUGCCCUUGACUCUGGGAUAAGCCUGGGAAACUGGGUCUAAUACUGGAUACUACUGUCCAUCGCAUGGUGGGUGGUGGAAAGGGUUUUACUGGUUUUGGAUGGGCUCACGGCCUAUCAGCUUGUUGGUGGGGUAAUGGCUCACCAAGGCGACGACGGGUAGCCGGCCUGAGAGGGUGACCGGCCACACUGGGACUGAGACACGGCCCAGACUCCUACGGGAGGCAGCAGUGGGGAAUAUUGCACAAUGGGCGGAAGCCUGAUGCAGCGACGCCGCGUGAGGGAUGACGGCCUUCGGGUUGUAAACCUCUUUCAGUAGGGAAGAAGCGAGAG
RNAcentral lists this ribosomal RNA (436 nucleotides) under Kocuria rosea subsp. polaris. Its description in RNAcentral is "bacterial SSU rRNA". It matches the Rfam family "Bacterial small subunit ribosomal RNA", at positions 22 to 456 of the family's 1533-position model. Lineage: Bacteria; Bacillati; Actinomycetota; Actinomycetes; Micrococcales; Micrococcaceae. The record is from RNAcentral.